CUACGUGCCAGCAGCCGCGGUAAUACGGAGGGUGCGAGCGUUAAUCGGAAUAACUGGGCGUAAAGGGCACGCAGGCGGUUAUUUAAGUGAGGUGUGAAAGCCCCGGGCUUAACCUGGGAAUUGCAUUUCAGACUGGGUAACUAGAGUACUUUAGGGAGGGGUAGAAUUCCACGUGUAGCGGUGAAAUGCGUAGAGAUGUGGAGGAAUACCGAAGGCGAAGGCAGCCCCUUGGGAAUGUACUGACGCUCAUGUGCGAAAGCGUGGGGAGCAAACAGGAUUAGAUACCCUGGUAGUCCACGCUGUAAACGAUGUCGAUUUGGGGGUUGAGCUUUAAGUUUGGCGCCCGUAGCUAACGUGAUAAAUCGACCGCCUGGGGAGUACGGCCGCAAGGUUAAAACUCAAAUGAAUUGACGGGGGCCCGCACAAGCGGUGGAGCAUGUGGUUUAAUUCGAUGCAACGCGAAGAACCUUACCUACUCUUGACAUCCAGAGAACAUUC
This 498-nucleotide ribosomal RNA is filed under the name uncultured bacterium. RNAcentral's name for it is "bacterial SSU rRNA". It matches the Rfam family "Bacterial small subunit ribosomal RNA", at positions 501 to 1000 of the family's 1533-position model. The record is from RNAcentral.